Molecule: long non-coding RNA, 420 nt
Filed under: Castor canadensis (American beaver)
Lineage: Eukaryota; Metazoa; Chordata; Mammalia; Rodentia; Castoridae
Description: lncRNA (ENSCCNG00000018538.1)
Source: RNAcentral
GUGCGCGCGCCGCCAGGCACGUGGGGCCCUUUCGUCCCCGGCGUCCGGGCGCCCCGCGCCACCCCCAACCCUUGUCCGGGCUGGUGAGCAGAAAGAACGAAAUCUAUUUCCCGCUGCCGCUGCCCGAAGGAAGACAUUUAAACCUAGAGAGAUGAAGUGACUGAUUCAAGGUCACACAGUGUUCGGGAUGGAAUCCAGACCUGAGUUUCUUACUGACCUAUGCUAUCUUGUGAAUUCCACACCACCCACUUUAUGGAUGAAGCCACUGAGAUAUGAAACAACAGACUAAAUAGUCACUGCCCUACCCUUGGAGCCUCACACAUGACUCUUCUCUCAUUCAAGUGACCACAGGUUGGUUAAGGGGUUUACCAAGGCUGGGAUAGUGAAUCAGCUAUAGACUUUGGAAGUUGAGCCAAAGGA